RNAcentral lists this unclassified non-coding RNA (27 nucleotides) under Mus musculus (house mouse). RNAcentral describes it as "oocyte_clustered_small_RNA13451". Lineage: Eukaryota; Metazoa; Chordata; Mammalia; Rodentia; Muridae. The record is from RNAcentral.
ACCGGGUCGUGAGUGUUCGGGAAUGUG